This 408-nucleotide ribosomal RNA is filed under the name uncultured bacterium. Its description in RNAcentral is "partial 16S ribosomal RNA". It matches the Rfam family "Bacterial small subunit ribosomal RNA", at positions 28 to 526 of the family's 1533-position model. The record is from RNAcentral.
GACGAACGCUGGCGGCGUGCCUAAUACAUGCAAGUCGAGCGAAUCGGCGGAUGGGUGAGUAACGCCUGGGUAACCUGCCCUUAAGUCUGGGAUCCCAUUUGGAAACAGAUGCUCAUCCCGGAUAAUCAAGGAUGGACCUGCGAUGCAUUAGCUAGUUGGUAAGGUAACGGCCUACCACGGCGAUGAUGCAUAGCCGGGGUGAGAGACUGAUCGGCAACAUUGGGACUGAGACACGGCCCAAACUCCUACGGAAGGCAGCAGUGGGGAAUAUUGCACAAUGGGCGCAAGCCUGAUGCAGCCAUGCCGCGUGUAUGAAGAAGGCCUUCGGGUGGUAAAGUACUUUCAGCGAGGAGGCGUUACUCGCAGAAGAAGCACCGGCUAACUCCGUGCCAGCCGCCGCGGUAAUAC